RNAcentral lists this ribosomal RNA (400 nucleotides) under uncultured bacterium. RNAcentral describes it as "bacterial SSU rRNA". It matches the Rfam family "Bacterial small subunit ribosomal RNA", at positions 355 to 747 of the family's 1533-position model. The record is from RNAcentral.
UGGGGAAUUUUGGACAAUGGGCGAAAGCCUGAUCCAGCCAUGCCGCGUGUGUGAAGAAGGCCUUCGGGUUGUAAAGCACUUUCGGCCGGAACGAAAUCGCGCGGGUGAACAAUCCGCGUGGAUGACGGUACCGGAAGAAGAAGCACCGGCUAACUACGUGCCAGCAGCCGCGGUAAUACGUAGGGUGCGAGCGUUAAUCGGAAUUACUGGGCGUAAAGCGUGCGCAGGCGGCGCCGCAAGUCAGGCGUGAAAUCCCCGGGCUUAACUUGGGAAUGGCGCUUGAAACUACGGUGCUGGAGUGUGGCAGAGGGAGGUGGAAUUCCACGUGUAGCGGUGAAAUGCGUAGAGAUGUGGAGGAACACCGAUGGCGAAGGCAGCCUCCUGGGCCAACACUGACGCU